GAUGAACGCUGGCGGCGUGCUUAACACAUGCAAGUCGAACGGUGAAGGCGGAGCUUGCUCUGCUGGAUCAGUGGCGAACGGGUGAGUAACACGUGAGCAAUCUGCCCCUGACUCUGGGAUAAGCGCUGGAAACGGCGUCUAAUACUGGAUACGAGCUGCGAAGGCAUCUUCAGCAGCUGGUAAGAAUUUCGGUCAGGGAUGAGCUCGCGGCCUAUCAGCUUGUUGGUGAGGUAAUGGCUCACCAAGGCGUCGACGGGUAGCCGGCCUGAGAGGGUGACCGGCCAAACGGGGACUGAGAAACGGCACAGACUCCUAAGGGAGGCAGGAGUGGGGAAUAUUACACAAUGGGCGAAAGCCGGAUGCAGCAACGCCGCGUGAGGGACGACGGCCUUCGGGUUGUAAACCUCUUUUAGCAGGGAAGAAGCGAAAGUGACGGUACCUGAAGAAAAAGCGCCGGCUAACUACGUG
Molecule: ribosomal RNA, 468 nt
Filed under: uncultured bacterium
Lineage: Bacteria
Description: partial 16S ribosomal RNA
Rfam family: Bacterial small subunit ribosomal RNA
Source: RNAcentral